Molecule: long non-coding RNA, 204 nt
Filed under: Nicotiana benthamiana
Lineage: Eukaryota; Viridiplantae; Streptophyta; Magnoliopsida; Solanales; Solanaceae
Description: long non-coding RNA (NBEN_LNC034743)
Source: RNAcentral
AAAUUCAGACCGGUUGUCCUAGUGUUAGGUGAUUCUGAACUAUUGCGCUAUGGGCUAUGCCGGAAAUGUCACGGGUUGAGUGGUGAGGUGCAUUGGAUUAUGUUCUAGCAGAGUGGCUUAUAUUGCAAAGAUCCAGCGGGCGACUGGGAAGGAUUGUUUUUCUUAAUUUGGCCUUCGUGAUGAUUGUCAGUGCAAAGGUUUUUA